UCUGUUCUUUCCUCUCCUGCCU
RNAcentral lists this microRNA (22 nucleotides) under Ornithorhynchus anatinus (platypus). RNAcentral's name for it is "oan-miR-7412-3p". Lineage: Eukaryota; Metazoa; Chordata; Mammalia; Monotremata; Ornithorhynchidae. The record is from miRBase by way of RNAcentral.